RNAcentral lists this ribosomal RNA (459 nucleotides) under uncultured bacterium. RNAcentral's name for it is "partial 16S ribosomal RNA". It matches the Rfam family "Bacterial small subunit ribosomal RNA", at positions 338 to 795 of the family's 1533-position model. The record is from RNAcentral.
CCUACGGGAGGCAGCAGUGAGGAAUAUUGGUCAAUGGUCGGGAGACUGAACCAGCCAAGCCGCGUGAGGGAUGAAGGUACAGAGUAUCGUAAACCUCUUUUGUCAGGGAACAAAGGCGGGGACGUGUCCCCGGAUGAGUGUACCUGAAGAAAAAGCAUCGGCUAACUCCGUGCCAGCAGCCGCGGUAAUACGGAGGAUGCGAGCGUUAUCCGGGUUUAGUGGGUUUAAAGGGUGCGCAGGCGGUCUGUUAAGUCAGCGGUCAAAGCCCGGGGCGAAACCCCGGCCCGCCGGUGAAACUGGCAGUCUCGAGUUGGAAAGAGGUAUGCGGAAUGCGCGGUGUAGCGGUGAAAUGCAUAGAUAUCGCGCAGAACUCCGAUUGCGAAGGCAGCAUGCCGGCUCCACACUGACGCUGAGGCACGAAAGCGUGGGUAUCGAACAGGAUUAGAUACCCGGGUAGUC